CAGAGGAUCCGAAGUGGGCUCUGCAGAGAGCAAUGAGUCUGACACAGGGCUCGAACUUCACGAACUGUGAGAUCAUGACCUGAGCCAAAGUUGGAUGCUCAACCAACUGAGCCACCCAGGUGUCCCUAAAUGUCAUCUUUUAAAUCUCAAUGGCAAAGAGGCACAGAAUAUAAAAACUAAUGAGCAUACAGUUUUCAAAACCAUGCAAAGAUGGCACAUGCUAAUGUCAGGAUUCUGAUAAUAUGUACAUAUGCUUAUAAGUAAAACUCUCAGGGUAAAUUUAUGACUAAAUGAGGAAUUAGUCUGGUUAACAUCUAUUUAGUAUAUAAGAAGCUGAAGAAUGGUGACACUAUAUUCUGGAGCUAAGAUUACCAUUGGAAGUAAUGUACUAGUGAAUUCAAAGCAGAAAAGAUAAGGUUAGCUUGCCGAAGGAAAGUAGGAAGAAUCAAACAGAAUUUACUAAGUCUUGCCAAUGUGGAAAAGACACAGCCCAGUUAAUGUUAUAGACAUCUAUAAAAACGAAUGUAUCAACGGAUGGUAUACAGGAAGUCCAAAGGACCCAGACGGUUUCAGGGUCAUUCUAGCACUGUUUGAGGAAGAGUGUGCCUUCCUGGAUGCCGUAGGUUACUACAGUUCAGCGACACUGGUUAUCAAGAUCAUAACAUCAACUCUUUGUUAUUAUUGGCUCAAAAUUUUCUAUUUAUAAUUUGACUAUCCAUAUAUAGAUUUUCUCAAAAAGUGGGGGAUGUGAUGAUCAUCUUGAUACAAGGAAUUAGAUCUAUACUCUGCCACUGACUUGGGCAUCAGGGAUUUGAGUCAGAAACAUGGCUCUGCCCUUUGCUGCUGUCACCUGCAGCAGGAACACACUCCUGAUCAGGAAAGUUCACAUGACGUUUCUGCCUCUGAAAGAUUAAGGUCAAGAUGAAGUAAAUUCUGUUCUAGGAAAUCCCGCCUGAGAGGUCAGCUUCUCCCUAUCUCACUAUUUUGAUGCAGAAACCUUUCAGGAUCACGAAAGGCUCAUUACCUCUCCAGUGCCACACAGGAGAGUCUGGGCUUUGGAUCUGGGCUGCCCGGAGUUAGUACUGGCACCAUCACUUACGACCGGGGAGAUCCCGAGCAGGACAACCUAAAGCCUCUCAAUCUCAAAUUCCUCACAUUCCACCUGCUAACCAUACCGACCUGAUGGGGCUGCUGUGGACUAAAUACACUUAGUGAACACACACAAAGAACUUCCAACAUGCCAUGUAUGAGACUCCUGUCACAUCUCACAUAGACCUCAUCCGUGUUGUCUCAAGUAAAUUUCAGAAGGCGAGCCUUUGCUGUAAAUGUAAAGAAAAAUCCCAGAUUUGACUCAAUUGCUUGUUUCAGAAGACCAAAAGCUGUUCACCAGGGGACAGGGAUGCUCAGGCACUGGAGCAGGGACAGACAGGCCGCACGGGCAGCAGACAUCUGUGUGAAUGCAUUCUUAAGCUGUUUCCGUGAGGAACUAAGGAUUCAGUCUGAUUCUCGUGAGGAGACGCUGCUAUCACACACAGACCCCACGAGUUGUUUUGGCGGGAAAGGCAGAAGCUGAGUGUGGCUGCAGAGACCGAGAGUCCCACAGUUGUCAGCCCACCUCCA
Molecule: long non-coding RNA, 1620 nt
Organism: Acinonyx jubatus (cheetah)
Lineage: Eukaryota; Metazoa; Chordata; Mammalia; Carnivora; Felidae
Exons: 6
Source: RefSeq, a predicted model, not a curated record